This 440-nucleotide ribosomal RNA is filed under the name uncultured bacterium. RNAcentral's name for it is "partial 16S ribosomal RNA". It matches the Rfam family "Bacterial small subunit ribosomal RNA", at positions 339 to 795 of the family's 1533-position model. The record is from RNAcentral.
CUACGGGCCGCUGCAGUAGGGAAUAUUGGACAAUGGGCGAAAGCCUGAUCCAGCAACACCGCGUGCACGAUGACGGCCUUCGGGUUGUAAAGUGCUUUUAGAGGAGAUGAGAAAGGACAGUACCCUCUGAAUAAGCCUCGGCGAACUACGUGCCAGCAGCCGCGGUAAAACGUAGGAGGCAAGCGUUAUCCGGAUUUAUUGGGCGUAAAGCGCGUGCAGGCGGUCUAGCAAGUUGGAUGUGAAAGCUCCCGGCUCAACUGGGAGAGGUCGUUCAAUACUGUUAGACUAGAGAAUAGGAGAGGGAGGUGGAAUUCCGGGUGUAGUGGUGAAAUGCGUAGAUAUCCGGAGGAACACCAGUGGCGAAAGCGGCCUCCUGGACUAUUUCUGACGCUAAGACGCGAAAGCUAGGGUAGCAAACGGGAUUAGAUACCCCUGUAGUC